CGCGGACAAAGGGAAGCGAGGCGGCGACGCGGAGCGAAUCCCAAAAAUCGCGCCCCAGUUCGGAUUGUAGUCUGCAACCCGACUACAUGAAGCCGGAAUCGCUAGUAAUCGCGGAUCAGAAUGCCGCGGUGAAUACGUUCCCGGGUCUUGUACACACCGCCCGUCACACCAUGGGAGUCGGGAAUGCCCGAAGUCAGUGACCCAACCUUAGGGAGGGAGCUGCCGAAGGCAGGCCUGGUGACUGGGGUGAAGUCGUAACAAGGUACC
This 267-nucleotide ribosomal RNA is filed under the name uncultured bacterium. Its description in RNAcentral is "partial 16S ribosomal RNA". It matches the Rfam family "Bacterial small subunit ribosomal RNA", at positions 1234 to 1500 of the family's 1533-position model. The record is from RNAcentral.